CCCACGCCAGGGAACUACGAGCCUUAGCUUAAAACCCAAAGGACUUGACGGUGUCCCACCCAACUAGAGGAGCCUGUUCUAUAAUCGAUGAUCCCCGCUUCACCCAACCCCCUCUUGCUUUAUCAGCCUGUAUACCUCCGUCGCAAGUCCGCCAUAUGAAUGCUCUUAAGCGGAUUCAAUGGGUCCCCCCCACCAACACGUCAGGUCAAGGUGCAGCCAAUGAGGGCGGUAAGUAAUGGGCUACAAUUUCUAAUUUAGAACAAACGGAAUACUGUAUGAAAUACAGUUAUGAAGGAGGAUUUAGCAGUAAAAAGAAAGUAGCGUGUUCUUUUUAACACGGCCCUGGGACGUGUACACACCGCCCGUCACCCUC
RNAcentral lists this ribosomal RNA (373 nucleotides) under Hoplobatrachus rugulosus (rugose frog). RNAcentral describes it as "partial 12S ribosomal RNA". It matches the Rfam family "Bacterial small subunit ribosomal RNA", at positions 866 to 1404 of the family's 1533-position model. Lineage: Eukaryota; Metazoa; Chordata; Amphibia; Anura; Dicroglossidae. The record is from RNAcentral.